GCGGAUGUAGUUCAAUGGUAGAACUUUAGCCUUCCAAGCUAACUACGUCGGUCCGAUUCCGAUCAUCCGCUCCA
Molecule: transfer RNA, 74 nt
Filed under: Mycoplasmataceae bacterium
Lineage: Bacteria; Bacillati; Mycoplasmatota; Mollicutes; Mycoplasmatales; Mycoplasmataceae
Description: tRNA-Gly
Rfam family: tRNA
About the family: Transfer RNA (tRNA) molecules are approximately 80 nucleotides in length. Their secondary structure includes four short double-helical elements and three loops (D, anti-codon, and T loops).
Source: RNAcentral